GGCCUACUAUGGUGGUGACGGGUAACGGGGAAUUAGGGUUCGAUUCCGGAGAGGGAGCCUGAGAAACGGCUACCACAUCCAAGGAAGGCAGCAGGCGCGCAAAUUACCCAAUCCCGACACGGGGAGGUAGUGACGAUAAAUAACAAUACGGGGCUCUUUCGGGUCUCGUAAUUGGAAUGAGUACAAUUUAAAUCCCUUAACGAGGAACAAUUGGAGGGCAAGUCUGGUGCCAGCAGCCGCGGUAAUUCCAGCUCCAAUAGCGUAUAUUAAAGUUGUUGCAGUUAAAAAGCUCGUAGUUGAAUUUCGAGACCGGUUUACUGGUCGUGCUUUUGUACGUACUGGUAUUAUUGGUUUCUCCUUUCUGACGAACUAUAAUGCCAUUAAUUUGGUGUUUUAGGGAAUCAGGACUGUUACUUUGAAAAAAUUAGAGUGUUUAAAGCAGGCUCACGCUUGAAUACAUUAGCAUGGAAUAACGGAAUAGGACGUUUGAUUCUAUUUUGUUGGUUUCUAGGAUCGACGUAAUGAUUAAUAGGGAUAGUUGGGGGCAUUAGUAUUCAAUUGUCAGAGGUGAAAUUCUUGGAUUUAUUGAAGACUAACUACUGCGAAAGCAUUUGCCAAGGAUGUUUUCAUUAAUCAAGAACGAAAGUUAGGGGAUCGAAGACGAUCAGAUACCGUCGUAGUCUUAACCAUAAACUAUGCCGACUAGGGAUCGGAUGAUGUUAAAUUAAUGACUCAUUCGGCACCUUACG
RNAcentral lists this ribosomal RNA (749 nucleotides) under uncultured Glomeromycotina. RNAcentral describes it as "SSU rRNA". It matches the Rfam family "Eukaryotic small subunit ribosomal RNA", at positions 338 to 1092 of the family's 1831-position model. Lineage: Eukaryota; Fungi; Glomeromycota. The record is from RNAcentral.